Molecule: ribosomal RNA, 481 nt
Filed under: uncultured bacterium
Lineage: Bacteria
Description: partial 16S ribosomal RNA
Rfam family: Bacterial small subunit ribosomal RNA
Source: RNAcentral
GACGAACGUUGGCGGCGUGCUUAAUACAUGCAAGUCAACUGAAGCAGUGGUAGCAAUAUCGCUGUGGAGGUGGCGCACGGGUGAGUAACACGUAGGUAAUCUGCCUUCAGGUCUGGCAUAACUCCGGGAAACCGGGGCUAAUAGCAGAUGAUGCAGCGGCUCGACAUCGUGACAGUUGUUAAAGCUAUGGCGCCUGAAGAUGGGCCUGCGUCUGAUUAGCUAGUUGGCGGGGUAACGGCCCACCAAGGCAACGAUCAGUAGCUGGUCUGAGAGGAUGAUCAGCCACACUGGAACUGAGACACGGUCCAGACUCCUACGGGAGGCAGCAGUAAGGAAUAUUGCUCAAUGGGAGAAAUCCUGAAGCAGCAACGCCGCGUGAGGGACGAAGGGCUUUUGCUUGCAAACCUCUGUAGUGAGAGAAAAAAAUCCCAAUCUUUGGGACAUGAUGGUAUCUCAAAAGUAAGCCCCGGCUAACUACGUG